RNAcentral lists this ribosomal RNA (253 nucleotides) under uncultured bacterium. RNAcentral's name for it is "partial 16S ribosomal RNA". It matches the Rfam family "Bacterial small subunit ribosomal RNA", at positions 524 to 776 of the family's 1533-position model. The record is from RNAcentral.
UACGGAGGGGGCUAGCGUUGUUCGGAAUUAUUGGGCGUAAAGCGCGUGUAGGCGGCUUUGCAAGUCGGGUGUGAAAGCCCUCAGCUCAACUGAGGAAGUGCGCCCGAAACUGCAGAGCUUGAGUACCGGAGAGGAUGGCGGAAUUCCCCAAGUAGAGGUGAAAUUCGUAGAUAUGGGGAGGAACACCGGUGGCGAAGGCGGCCAUCUGGACGGAUACUGACGCUGAGACGCGAAAGCGUGGGUAGCAAACAGG